Molecule: ribosomal RNA, 468 nt
Filed under: uncultured bacterium
Lineage: Bacteria
Description: partial 16S ribosomal RNA
Rfam family: Bacterial small subunit ribosomal RNA
Source: RNAcentral
GACGAACGCUGGCGGCGUGCUUAACACAUGCAAGUCGAACGGAAAGGCCCUGCUUUUGUGGGGUGCUCGAGUGGCGAACGGGUGAGUAACACGUGAGUAACCUGCCCUUCACUUUGGGAUAACUUCAGGAAACUGGGGCUAAUACCGGAUCGGAGCUCCUGCUGCAUGGUGGGGGUUGGAACGUUUCGGCGGUUGGGGAUGGACUCGCGGCUUAUCAGCUUGUUGGUGGGGUAGUGGCUUACCAAGGCUUUGACGGGUAGCCGGCCUGAGAGGGUGACCGGCGACAAUGGGACUGAGAGACGGCCCAGACGCCUACGGGAGGCAGCAGGGGGGAAUAUUGCACAAUGGGCGGAAGCCUGAUGCAGCAACGCCGCGUGCGGGAUGACGGCCUUCGGGGUGUAAACCGCUUUCGCCUGUGACGAAGCGUGAGUGACGGUAAUGGGUAAAGAAGCACCGGCUAACUACGUG